Cadophora gregata is the source of this 105-nucleotide non-coding RNA. The record is from the annotation of a RefSeq genome assembly. Lineage: Eukaryota; Fungi; Ascomycota; Leotiomycetes; Helotiales; Ploettnerulaceae.
GGUUUAUAGUAGUGUAGCGGUUAGCACGUGAGAUUCUGAAAACAGAAUCAAUAUAUUCUGUAAAGAAUGUUUCUCGAAUCCCCGGUUCGAGCCCGGGUACGACCU